RNAcentral lists this ribosomal RNA (460 nucleotides) under uncultured bacterium. RNAcentral describes it as "partial 16S ribosomal RNA". It matches the Rfam family "Bacterial small subunit ribosomal RNA", at positions 338 to 795 of the family's 1533-position model. The record is from RNAcentral.
CCUACGGGCGGCAGCAGUGAGGAAUAUUGGUCAAUGGGCGCGAGCCUGAACCAGCCAAGUAGCGUGAAGGAUGACUGCCCUACGGGUUGUAAACUUCUUUUAUAAAGGAAUAAUGUGAGGCACGUGUGCCUUUUUGUAUGUACUUUAUGAAUAAGGAUCGGCUAACUCCGUGCCAGCAGCCGCGGUAAUACGUAGGGUGCGAGCGUUAUCCGGAUUUAUUGGGUGUAAAGGGGGCGGAGAGGGGGAUGUAAGCCAGUUGUGAAAGUAUGGGGCCCAACCCUCGGAUUGCAAUUGAAACUGGGUGGCUGGAGUACAGUAGAGGUAGGCGGAAUUCGUGGUGUAGCGGUGAAAUGCGUAGAUAUCAGGAAGAACACCGAUGGCGAAGGCAGCCUACUAGACUGCAACUGACGUUGAGGCACGAAAGCGUGGGGAUCAAACAGGAUUAGAUACCCCAGUAGUC